GCCAUCGUGGUGCAGUGGUUAAGCGCUCGGCUGCUAACUGAAAGGUUGGUGGUUUGAACCCACCCAACAGCU
RNAcentral lists this transfer RNA (72 nucleotides) under Loxodonta africana (African savanna elephant). It matches the Rfam family "tRNA". From Rfam's summary of the family: Transfer RNA (tRNA) molecules are approximately 80 nucleotides in length. Their secondary structure includes four short double-helical elements and three loops (D, anti-codon, and T loops). The record is from Rfam by way of RNAcentral. Lineage: Eukaryota; Metazoa; Chordata; Mammalia; Proboscidea; Elephantidae.